UUUGGUUUAUCUCACAAUUUCGGAGAAGUCCUUGAGUUUAUUAGACUUUCAAAAUUCACGGAGAAAGCGGGUAGUCGCCGAACGGAAAACCGAACACAUGGCCACCAGACGCGACUGGUUUUCCCCAAAAAUGAAGU
This is a long non-coding RNA of Bombus impatiens (common eastern bumble bee), 137 nucleotides long. RefSeq lists it as uncharacterized. The transcript has 3 exons. Lineage: Eukaryota; Metazoa; Arthropoda; Insecta; Hymenoptera; Apidae. The record is from RefSeq and is a predicted model, not a curated record.